GGGGUUCCUUCAUUUUAUGUUCACCAUAGUCCUGAUCAGAGCAAUAGAGGACACCUGAAGGCAUCAGCACCUGAAGGUACCAGCUUUGAGUAACUCAGUGUUUUGACUGGGAUGUGGGUCUUUAGGAUUUGAAUGUUUCAUCUUACUCUAAUUUAAUCAGCUACAACUAUUUUUUAAAAUGUCCCUCUAGUAUUGCAGCCAGAAAGAAGUACUCAUGGUGCUUUGUGACUUUUGCUCAUACUGAUGAACACAUGAACCAGAAACCUCAAGCAAGUGCAGAUCAAGCAGUGAAGUGCUGGACAGUGAAGCAGUGGAAAUGAAUGAGCUGUGACAGUGGCCUCAGUGGGAGAGUGUGGGUGUGUGUGAAAGAGCACAAGGCAGCAAUAUUUAAGAACUUCUGGUCUCCAGAAAUCUCAUCUAAAGUAGCUCACAAAAUACAGAAGAGAGGAAAUAAGGUUACAUUCUCCAAUAUGUGCAAAAGCUAUCUCCUAUGAGAGCACUAUGAUGGUAGACAACAUUAUGAUCUCUGAUGGGAUAAGUCAGCAGAAUGUGAACCUCACAUAAAUAUCAGAUUGCUGCAAAGAGAG
This 587-nucleotide long non-coding RNA is filed under the name Cyanistes caeruleus (blue tit). RNAcentral's name for it is "lncRNA (ENSCCEG00000015031.1)". Lineage: Eukaryota; Metazoa; Chordata; Aves; Passeriformes; Paridae. The record is from RNAcentral.